Molecule: unclassified non-coding RNA, 276 nt
Filed under: soil metagenome
Description: partial contains small subunit ribosomal RNA, internal transcribed spacer 1, and 5.8S ribosomal RNA
Source: RNAcentral
UAACCGUAGGUGAACCUGCGGUUGGAUCAUUAACGCUAAACUACCCAAACCUUUUCCCUCCGCCGCCCGCCCCAACACGGCGGCGGCAGAGGGGAAAUCACCGAGCGAACCGUUGAAGUCUCCGACAGUGCCCUGCACUGGCGGAACCAUUUAUUAAAAACAACAAAAACAACAAACCCAUUCGUCUGAAACGAGUUUUGCGCUCCGCAAGGAGGCGGCAAAAUGGAAAUUACAAAGAACCAAUGACAACUUUUAACAAUGGAUAUCUUGGCUCUC